AGUGAUGAAGGUUUUCGGAUCGUAAAGCUCUGUUGUUAGGGAAGAACAAGUGCGAGAGUAACUGCUCGCACCUUGACGGUACCUAACCAGAAAGCCACGGCUAACUACGUGCCAGCAGCCGCGGUAAUACGUAGGUGGCAAGCGUUGUCCGGAAUUAUUGGGCGUAAAGGGCUCGCAGGCGGUUUCUUAAGUCUGAUGUGAAAGCCCCCGGCUCAACCGGGGAGGGUCAUUGGAAACUGGGAAACUUGAGUGCAGAAGAGGAGAGUGGAAUUCCACGUGUAGCGGUGAAAUGCGUAGAGAUGUGGAGGAACACCAGUGGCGAAGGCGACUCUCUGGUCUGUAACUGACGCUGAGGAGCGAAAGCGUGGGGAGCGAACAGGAUUAGAUACCCUGGUAGUCCACGCCGUAAACGAUGAGUGCUAAGUGUUAGGGGGUUUCCGCCCCUUAGUGCUGCAGCUAACGCAUUAAGCACUCCGCCUGGGGAGUACGGUCGCAAGACUGAAACUCAAAGGAAUUGACGGGGGCCCGCACAAGCGGUGGAGCAUGUGGUUUAAUUCGAAGCAACGCGAAGAACCUUACCAGGUCUUGACAUCCUCUGACAACCCUAGAGAUAGGGCUUUCCCUUCGGGGACAGAGUGACAGGUGGUGCAUGGUUGUCGUCAGCUCGUGUCGUGAGAUGUUGGGUUAAGUCCCGCAACGAGCGCAACCCUUGAUCUUAGUUGCCAGCAUUCAGUUGGGCACUCUAAGGUGACUGCCGGUGACAAACCGGA
This 770-nucleotide ribosomal RNA is filed under the name Bacillus sp. R120. RNAcentral describes it as "bacterial SSU rRNA". It matches the Rfam family "Bacterial small subunit ribosomal RNA", at positions 404 to 1167 of the family's 1533-position model. The record is from RNAcentral. Lineage: Bacteria; Bacillati; Bacillota; Bacilli; Caryophanales; Bacillaceae.